This 444-nucleotide ribosomal RNA is filed under the name uncultured fungus. Its description in RNAcentral is "SSU rRNA". It matches the Rfam family "Eukaryotic small subunit ribosomal RNA", at positions 793 to 1236 of the family's 1831-position model. The record is from RNAcentral. Lineage: Eukaryota; Fungi.
GGGAUCCGAUUUUAGCAUGGAAUAAUAAAAUAGGACUUCGGUUCUAUUUUGUUGGUUUCUAUAACUGAAGUAAUGAUUGAUAGGGAUAGUUGGGGGUGCUAGUAUUGGCCGGUCAGAGGUGAAAUUCUUGGAUUCGGUCAAGACUAACUUAUGCGAAAGCAUUCACCAAGGAUGUCUUCUUUAAUCAAGAACGAAAGUUGGGGGAUCGAAGACGAUCAGAUACCGUCGUAGUCUCAACUAUAAACUAUGCCAACUAGGGAUGGGUGAAUGUUGCUUUUUCGACUUCAUCCGCACCUUAUGAGAAAUCAAAGUCUUUGGGUUCCGGGGGGAGUAUGGUCGCAAGGCUGAAACUUAAAGGAAUUGACGGAAGGGCACCACCAGGAGUGGAGCCUGCGGCUUAAUUUGACUCAACACGGGGAAACUCACCAGGUCCAGAAAUCUAGA